Molecule: long non-coding RNA, 223 nt
Filed under: Olea europaea (common olive)
Lineage: Eukaryota; Viridiplantae; Streptophyta; Magnoliopsida; Lamiales; Oleaceae
Description: long non-coding RNA (OEUR_LNC008903)
Source: RNAcentral
UUUGUAAGUGUUAUGCCCUAGAUCCAAUCGAUUUAGGUUGUAAACGCUUUUAAUAUAUUUAAUGCAUUUGAUUUUGGCGAGAUCUAUUAUUUAUUUAAAUUAAUUUUGUAAUAAAUAAUAUUAAAUAAUAGAAUCCGAAGACCCAAUUUUUAGGUAAUCUGUUAAUCACAAGGAGUUGUGAUUGUGAGAUACAAAUUACAUAUAAUUGGAUCUUGAAUAAACC